Molecule: long non-coding RNA, 386 nt
Filed under: Zostera marina
Lineage: Eukaryota; Viridiplantae; Streptophyta; Magnoliopsida; Alismatales; Zosteraceae
Description: long non-coding RNA (ZMAR_LNC004661)
Source: RNAcentral
GUUCGAACCCCAUAACUCUGGACAGACGAGUUGUGAUGAUCACAUGACUGGCUCCGGUGUUAUUCGGAAUCAAGUCGUGUAAAUCCUUGUUACCACCACCAUCCCACCAUUCUUUCUCCGAUUCGAGAUUAUCGAUCACCACCAAGUAAGGAAUAUCUCUGAACAGUUCCCUUUUUACCUUAUCAAAAGCAUCGAUUUCUUGCUCGUCGAAGCUCCUAAUCCGACCUCUUUCCUUUUCAGCUUCGGCGCUUACAUCCAAACCCAACUUCGUUGCAAGAUUCAGUAUGCUCUGCCGAAAAUAUUUGGCUUCUCCGGCUAUCCACAAUACCAUCUUGUACCUCUCCGUAUAUCGGUAUGCAAACUCCAAAGCGACCUCCGUCUUCCCG